Molecule: unclassified non-coding RNA, 283 nt
Filed under: uncultured fungus
Lineage: Eukaryota; Fungi
Description: partial contains 5.8S ribosomal RNA, internal transcribed spacer 2, and large subunit ribosomal RNA
Source: RNAcentral
AACGCAAAUUGCACUCUCUGGCAAUCCAGGGAGUAUGCCUGUUUGAGGGUCAGUUUAAGUAAAAUCGAGGUGUCGUUUUAGUGACGUUUCGGAAUUGGGUUGUCUUGACCUUUCAGGUUAAGAGGCCUGAAAUUGAUGUUUUUUCGCGCAUCCUGAACGUGAGUAAUUCAUUCAUCCGUUUUCGAUGCCGAUCUCUAUUAGGUAUGGUCAUGUCGUGUGGUCACGUACCUAUAAUUAUUCAUAUUUUGACCUCAAAUCAGGUAGGAGUACCCGCUGAACUUAA